RNAcentral lists this unclassified non-coding RNA (4648 nucleotides) under Hevea brasiliensis (rubber tree). The record is from RNAcentral. Lineage: Eukaryota; Viridiplantae; Streptophyta; Magnoliopsida; Malpighiales; Euphorbiaceae.
UACUUUUAUUCAGAAAAGUAGAUUCAGACCUCCAAAUACAAUGCCAAACAAGCAUUAAAUAAGUUGCAAUUUGCAAGAUCAGAACAUAUGACAUAAAUAAAAUGAGUAACUUGCAGAACUCAGGCUUAUGUACUAAUACAUAAUUCAUAGAUACAAUUAAUGGCACUUGUAAAACUAACAUAGCAAUAUGCACAUGAAGUUCAAUCUGCAAAUAACAAGCUGAAGUAUCAGUCUUUCUUCUCUUUAUUUUUCCUUUGCACAGAGAGAAGGGGCAAAGAAGGAAGGGAUUUCUGCUACUCGAAGCAUAGAUGUCACACACCUAUAGGUUCAGUAGCUUUCUUCAGCCACGCCUUCUCAGAUUCAUCCAAAUAUGGAGCCAGAACGUCCCUACAUCUUGAAUGAUAGGUGUUCAGCCAAUCAAUCUCAUCGGGCAUUAGGAGGCUCACAUCAAUUAACUUUGUCUGAUACGGUGCCUAGAUAUCAGCAUAUCAUCAAAUUUUAAUAUGUAAGAAUCAGCAUAUAUAUAUAUAUAUAAAACAAACAUUAUAUGUUCAAAUAUUACAUCUAAGUGAGAGGAAAUUAGUCAUAUCCAUUAGACAGGGCUACGGUGUGUGUGGAAAGAAGCAGUAAAAGUAUAAUAUUUCAUAAAUAUUGCACUUUCUGCAAGCAGCCAUAGGAAGCAUUGCUUUAGGAUAUCAUUCACAUGUUACAACUGAGGAUAGCAGUUCUCCACUAAUCUAUUAAACACUUAAAGAUAGAACUUCACCUCCCUAAAGUUUUUCAGGACAGAAAGGACAGUGGUAAUCCAAAACUUUUUGACGUAUUAAAAGCUGGACAAUCAGUUUCAGAAACAUUUAAAGAAAUUUUACAUAUGAACAAGCUGCCACAUGGUUGAUCUUCAGGGUCUCCUUGCACGCAUGUGGAUUCUUUCUGAAUGCAAAGGAUCAAAAUGUUGGAGGCCCAAGCCAGUCCUCAAAUUACACUGCUUGAUAAUCUUUGUGCACCAUUCUAACUUGGACCAACAGUUUCUUUUACCCUCAAAUUAUAUGCAUAAUGACUAGUUUGACUCAGCUAAGUAGUAAUUAGUUCCAAAAUUGUACUUUUCUUACUUGGACUCGUUUUGAGUUCUUUCAUGCUGGAAUUCAUAUCCAAAGUCUUUCCAUGAAGAAACAAGUAAUCAGAAUGGAGAACACGGAGAACAUGAAAAGAAUUGACACACUAUCAGCAUAAGGCAUGAAAAAUAAAGUGCUCAACAUGUACAUUUAGAAGAUUUAGAUAAAUUCACAUGUGCUUACCCAUGUUAUGUGCUCAAAUGAUAAGUAGCCUUUGUCACCAAAAUUGAAUUUUGUAUUUCCUUCCUUAACAAUAAGCACAUUCUCCAAUCUUAUACCAAAGUUCCCAUCUUCAUAGUAUCCAGGUUCUGAGAAUUGCAAUGCCAACAAAGUAAAAUUUUCACAGUUCUAGCAUCAAUAUAUUUAUGAUUCUUGAAUACAGAAUUGGAAAAUGCACAUAUCUAUUCAAAACCACAUUUGAGCAUCAGUGAGAGACAGUACUAUAAUUGACAUAAGUUGAAAGCUGAGGUAAAACUUUUAAUGCAAUCUUCUUGAGCAUGAAUGUUCCGACGCGUAGAUUAAUAGGGACCCCAAAACUAGGUGGUCACUUAAUUAAACAAAUAAAUAUAGAAGGAGAAUUCAAUUAGCUAAAGCCAGCAUCUGGGAUACAAAUAUUUUGUUGUGUUCAACUAAUAAUUUUCUUCCACAACCAUAAUGAAGUCCAACAAAGACAAUGAUACUAACCAUCUGUUACAGUCAUGGAAGCUUGUAGCGGCACAUUACGAGCCUGUGGCCUGAAACUAAUCAAAUGGGGCCCUUCGUGAACAUUUAGAUAUGACCCAAUUCCAUGACCAGUACCAUGCCUAUAAUCAAGACCAUCCUUCCACAAAGGGAUUCGAGCAAGGAUGUCAAGGACAUGACCAUUAGUCCCAUUGGGAAACCGGGCAUUACCGAGGGCAAUGUGACCCUUGAGAACCGCAGUAUAGCAUGCUUUCUCGUGUGCUGAUGGCUUUCCAAAAUGGACUGUGCGAGUUAUGUCAGUUGUUCCAUCCAGAUACUUCAUCCACGCCAGCAACAGUUUUGAUUAGAAAAUAAAACAUCAUUAAGCAAAUGGCAUUUUGAAUGAAUGACACUUAAUUAGUCAAUUUGGCCCGAUUGUCAUAAGCCAAAUUAUUUACAUGUGACAAACCUGAGCUCCUGAAUCAAAUAGAUAGAUGCUAUUUGGAUCAAGCUCAGCACAAGUCUCAGCCUUUGGAGAAUAAUGGAUGAUAGCAGCAUUUGGACCAACUGAUGAAAUUGUAGGGAAACUUAAGCCUCUAAAAAACUGUGAUUAAAACAAAUAAGAAAGGAAUAUUAUCAUGUCAAACAACUUGUAUCCUAAUAUGAUGCUUCUUUAUCUGUCUCUUUCAAUAACAAGAAGAUUUUUUUUUUUUUGUCUAGUGCUAUGCCAUUUAAAAUACCUCUUUUGAUGCUCGAAAGCCUUCCAGCUUAUCACUUACAGUCACCUCUGUCAGUUUUCUAGUUUCCCUGUCACAGCACAUUCCGAUAAAAAAAAAAAAAGGAUCCGUUGCAUGUCAAGCUUUAAUCUGAUCAGAAAAGUAGUAGACGUAUUAAUGGGAUUGCAAUCUAGCAGUUUGCAUAAUGUGAAUAAUAAAGCAAUAGAGUGGCUUACAACUGCUUUUCCUUGGCAUAUAAUAUUAAGCAAACACUUUUUUUGAAAGGAAAAUCUUCAGGCAUCAGCUCAGUAAAUUUUAGUUGCAUCAUUCUUGGUACAAAAUUUGAUCUUAUCAUGCAUAACGGAUGAAAUAAAAGCGGCCAAACAGUACUAUUUCCAAUAAGCACAAACAAUAGCAAAGGACAAAGGCUUUUGAUCAAAGGUUCCAUAAUUUAGUUGGUGGGAUUCCUUUCAACUUCCCAAUAGCAAUAUUCUAAACAAGACAAAAAAAAAAUAUAGAAAAUUGAACUGCUUGCAAUGAAGCUUCUGUCUAUAAUAACAUUGCUUAUUUGCUAGAGUAUUUGAUAUAAUAUACAACGAGAUAGCUCUCACCAUGUCAUUUUGUCAUACUUCUUACCUCAACAACUGAACUCAUGUAACUUAAAUAUAAAUAUUACUGCGACACUAAACACAAUAUAUCUAAUAUAACCUACUUCAUAGAAUCAUCAUAUUAUAUCCAGAUUUCUGGUGCAAAAUUUCCAAUACAACAGUUAUCAAAUAACAAUUACAAAUUUAAACAAUGGCCAUAAGUUCAAAAUAUGACAAGAAACACCUACGAAUCCUUUUUCUUGUUUGCACUCUCCAACUCCAAGAAGUAACCAGAAGCCCCAUAAAUCUCCUGCAUCUGCUUAUCCAACCAGAAAAGAUAUUGCACAACAGCUGCACCAUCACGAAUGUGUGCCUUUUUUAAGCCAUCCAACUCAACAGGGUUCUUUAAAGCUUUUGCAAGGGCAAGAGGUGAUUGCUUAAGUAGCACUUUCUCAGAAUUCAACUUUGAAUAUAAAGCAUAGCAGCAUGAACCAGGGUCAACCCAUAUAAGGUCAGCUUUAUUGCUUUUUGAUUCAGCUAUACCAUUUCCCACAAUGUCAAUCUCACUAGAAUUGAUGUUUAUGCCAUUUGUAACUUCAGCAUGAUUUCCUUCGACUGCAGAUGUUGAGUCAAGCUGAUUAGAUGCAAGCAAGAGCACAUCUGAGCUCACUGCAGUGUACUCCCGAAGUUCAAUUCCAUUCUCCUUGAUAUAAGAGUUUACCUCAGAAGAGACCUUCCUUUUGUCCACAUAAAGGAAAGCUGAGUUGGAUGUUACAAUAGCAAAUGCAUGGACAACUGGACAGUAGGAUACAUCAUUUCCACGAAUAUUACACAACCAAGCAACCUCAUCAAGUGUUGUAAUAAUUAUACCAUAAGCUUUCUCAUUUUUUAAUUUUUCUCUCAGAUCCUUCAGCUUGUCUGCAACAGUACGACCUGUAUAUUCCAAUGGAUGGACAAUUACAGGAUUUGUUUCUGCUGGGGGUCGACUUUUCCAGACCUCAUCUACCAGAUUGGUUGUAGUUUGAAUCAGCUUCUGCUGCUUUUCAGCAAAAGCACACUCCCAUUUUUGUGCGGUGUCUACUGAUAUGCACCAUGGAUCAAUACCAACAGCCGCACAUGCAGGUAGAUUAUCAGCCAUCCAUGUAUCCACUGCAGGGUCCUCUCCUAUACGCAUGAGUGUCCACUGAUCACUAAGUUGUUGUGUUGCCUGCAAGAAAUAUCGUCCAUCUGUCCACAGCCGUGCUUCAUUCAUAGUAAUAAGCGCUAAACCUGCGCUUCCAGUGAACCCAGAAACAAAUUCGCGACGCUUGUCCCGCGCAGAAACGUACUCGCUCUGAUGAUAAUCUUCAGAGGGAACAACCAAGGCAUCGAGAGGGGGAGAGUGAGAAGCCAUAAAAGACCUCAAGGAAGCGAGUGUAUCAGCCAUGGCGAUGGUUUGUACCUGUAUUGAUCUACUUAACAGAUUGCGAAUUGAUUUAUGAAGCCUUGCUUCAGUGAAGAGAUGAGACAGAAAGAAGCCAAGUAGAAAAAUAGGCGUGUGAAUCUUGUAGGGUCUGUUUGGACGAUGCUGAGG